RNAcentral lists this transfer RNA (85 nucleotides) under Belnapia sp. RNAcentral's name for it is "tRNA-Leu". It matches the Rfam family "tRNA". Rfam says of the family: Transfer RNA (tRNA) molecules are approximately 80 nucleotides in length. Lineage: Bacteria; Pseudomonadati; Pseudomonadota; Alphaproteobacteria; Acetobacterales; Roseomonadaceae. The record is from RNAcentral. RNAcentral also lists the same sequence under 3 other names.
GCGGGCGUGGUGGAAUUGGCAGACACGCCGGAUUUAGGUUCCGGUGGCGCAAGCCUUGGGGGUUCAAGUCCCUCCGCCCGCACCA